This 72-nucleotide transfer RNA is filed under the name Cavia porcellus (domestic guinea pig). It matches the Rfam family "tRNA". From Rfam's summary of the family: Transfer RNA (tRNA) molecules are approximately 80 nucleotides in length. Their secondary structure includes four short double-helical elements and three loops (D, anti-codon, and T loops). The record is from Rfam by way of RNAcentral. Lineage: Eukaryota; Metazoa; Chordata; Mammalia; Rodentia; Caviidae.
AGUGAUAUAGCUCAGUGGCACAGCACACACCUGAAAAGUGCAAGGUCCUGAGUUUGAUUCCCAGUACCAAUA